Molecule: long non-coding RNA, 479 nt
Organism: Lemur catta (Ring-tailed lemur)
Lineage: Eukaryota; Metazoa; Chordata; Mammalia; Primates; Lemuridae
Exons: 2
Source: RefSeq, a predicted model, not a curated record
GCAUGGCACACGCGCGGCAGGACGUGGAGCACGAGGCGCGCGUCCAGGGAAGAAAACUGAGAGUUCGGGUGCCAACUUCAUGCUUACUUCCCAUGUCCUGACCAGAGUUCUGUUCACCCCUGUUCCUUAAGCGGCCCUCCUUAUUUCCUUCUCCACUACCAACGCCAAGGACACAGGAGGUCGGAGACCAAGGGGUUCACAAGAAACUGAUCUUUACUCAACAAAGUUCUACACAAGUGGAAUCUCACGCCGCCUCGGCGCCAGUCCCCAGCACAGCACAGUAACAAAUGGACAGAUCCGGGAGCCCGCAGGGGGAAGACGGUGAGGAGGGAAGGAGGGAUACGGGAAACAUGGAGAGAGGACUGCGGAUCAAGGCCAGUCUGGGUCCACAGCCCUGAGCAGGGGAGAAGGUUGAAAAGCUGAAACUUCGUUGUGCAAAAACCAACCAAAAAUAAAUUAAAAAAUUAAAUAGCUUUCUU